Mercurialis annua (annual mercury) is the source of this 581-nucleotide long non-coding RNA. RefSeq lists it as uncharacterized. The transcript has 3 exons. The record is from RefSeq and is a predicted model, not a curated record. Lineage: Eukaryota; Viridiplantae; Streptophyta; Magnoliopsida; Malpighiales; Euphorbiaceae.
AAAGGAUUAGUGGACUAAAUUGGACGAAAGAAAAGUUAGAAAGUGAAGGUUAAGGAGGUGGCAACUUCAAGGACCUAAGUGGACCUUUAACCCACUUAUUAUCAUCGAUUAUGAAUGAUUAUUCAUUCAUUCAAAGCAAAAUUUGCAGCAAAGGAAAGGAAGAACCCGUAACUCCCUUACCCCAAAAUCAACAAAUCUUCUAAACCCCAUAACUUUCUCAAUUUUGAUCCGAAUUUAGCGAUUCUCGCGGCCACGGAACGAGGAAACGAUUAUCUACAGAUCUAUGGCUUCAAUUUGAGGUGUUAUUGAGCUUGAUUAUAGAAUUUUGAUGAUGAAUUGGAGCCUAGAACUAUUCGGCAUAGAGACUUUAUCCAAGGGAUGGUAUGAUAUGAUUUGAAGAGUUAAGCUUCCGAAGUUUUAAUUCUCGGAAGUCAUUUGUAUAAGAAGAAAAAGAAGGUUUUCAUUCUAGCGGUCCGCAGUAGUCUAGAUAUUUUAACUAGAAUUUUGUAUAACGCGUUUUUAACUCUGAUAUUAUUUGUAAAUGGGGUCACAUGUAUUUUAAUAUAUGAAAUAUGUUUUGA